AUGUUCGAAAGAAAAAUGUAGGGAAGUGCACGUAAAAUACUUUUAGAGAAACUAUAUAUGCUGCAAAGCUAUGGUUGGAGAUGCAUCUUAUUUUCAGAUGAAAUUUUUAACUUUCAUUUAUCGCGAUGGAAUGGCAACAUCGAGCCACAUACAGGAUAUGCGAAUGGUGUUGAACAAAUGCUCAACUCUCAGUUAUUUUCUUUUGCGAAUUGUACCUUCGACAAUCAUUUAAAAAAUACUAGAUUUAAUAUAUUUAAUACAAUUAAACAGCUUUCGCGUCAGUAAUCCUC
Molecule: long non-coding RNA, 290 nt
Filed under: Mytilus galloprovincialis (Mediterranean mussel)
Lineage: Eukaryota; Metazoa; Mollusca; Bivalvia; Mytilida; Mytilidae
Source: RNAcentral